CUACGGGGGCUGCAGUGGGGAAUCUUGGACAAUGGGCGCAAGCCUGAUCCAGCCAUGCCGCGUGAGUGAUGAAGGCCUUAGGGUCGUAAAGCUCUUUCGCCAGGGAUGAUAAUGACAGUACCUGGUAAAGAAACCCCGGCUAACUCCGUGCCAGCAGCCGCGGUAAUACGGAGGGUGCAAGCGUUGUUCGGAAUUACUGGGCGUAAAGGGUGUGCAGGCGGCUGCAUAAGUCGGAUGUGAAAGCCCUCGGCUUAACCGAGGAAGUGCAUCCGAUACUGUGUAGCUUGAGUCCCGGAGAGGGGGAUGGAAUUCCCGGUGUAGAGGUGAAAUUCGUAGAUAUCGGGAGGAACACCAGUGGCGAAGGCGAUCCCCUGGACGAGGACUGACGCACAUACACGAAAGCGUGGGUAGCAAACAGGAUUAGAUACCCUGGUAGUC
This 438-nucleotide ribosomal RNA is filed under the name uncultured bacterium. Its description in RNAcentral is "partial 16S ribosomal RNA". It matches the Rfam family "Bacterial small subunit ribosomal RNA", at positions 339 to 795 of the family's 1533-position model. The record is from RNAcentral.